This 1269-nucleotide long non-coding RNA is filed under the name Bemisia tabaci. Its description in RNAcentral is "lncRNA ENSSSA1UGG012085". Lineage: Eukaryota; Metazoa; Arthropoda; Insecta; Hemiptera; Aleyrodidae. The record is from RNAcentral.
AUGUCCGGAGUCGGAGUGGGGGUCGGCUCUGUGGAGAUGUCGCCCCACUUGGUCUCGCUCAACCCCCCCUGCAAACUAUACCCCCUGCCUGAAGCGGGGUGCGUGAGCGUGGGGAGCGGGAGCGGGGUGGACGUGACGAUCCCGAGGGAGGCCGGCGGGGGCGAAGGCGGGGCCGGGGACCUGGGGAGCUACUGCAUCCUGGAGAACCGCAACGGCAUCGUCACCCUCACCCCCUUCGCCGAAGACACCCGAGUCAACGGCCGCGCCGUCCAGCAAACCGUCCGGCUCGAACCAGGAAGUACAAUUGCAGUCGGACAGUCGGGUCUUUUUAAAUUUAACUAUCCUCUUCUUUCCAAUAUGAUGAAGUCUUCCAUGCAGUCGAAUUCGUUUGGAUUAAAUCAGUUUAACGAUUCCAAAAAGGAAAAAGUACAACCAACUUUUAAUGUCACACCCGUUGACAAAUACAUUUCACCAAAAUGCUUUCCUCGUGGGAGUGUCACAGUCAACUCACCCGCCGACGCUGUUUUCGGACAAAACUCACCGAUCAAUCACAUCUCGAAACUGAACAAAUCCCCUGCCGCCAAUGACAAUUGCUCAAAGUUGAACAACUCAGUUAUUUACCAAAACAUAAACUGCUCAUACCAGUCGAGCAAAGUAAAUAAUAGUGACCUGCCCCCAAGUUUAGUCAAUGGGAGCGGUCAUCUGGGUGAAUAUGUACCUAAGAGUCAGAAUAACUCGGGAGGAGGCGAGCCUAUCAGAGGGAAGGUGUUGUCACUUCCCAGUGCAUCCUUUGACCGAAACCCCACGUACUCAGCGCAUAAGAGCGGUGUAGUUUCACCAGUGCACAGCAUGGUUCAAUCCAAAACAAGUUACGAAGAUGAUUUGUCGUCUUAUCAUCCGUACUGUUCUCAGUCAAGUUACCCUUAUUCAUGCAGUGGCUCUGGGCCGUGUAGUCAGUAUAAUUAUGAUCUCGAGCUGAACAAGCAAUUAGAUGAGCAGCUGUCAAUCCAGGCAGCUGAAAAGAAGCAGCUAGAUGAGAUCCUCUCAGUUUUGCAGACUAUGAGAAGAAAACAUUGGAGCAGUCAGCAAAACCUCAUCAUAAUAGAAUUAUCACCAAUGGUUCGCUGCCACGAGAUAAACAUCUUGGCUCUCCUAAUGGUUUGUCUGAAUAUUCCAGGGAUACUUCUUUCAAUUUUGACGGAUCCUCACCAAAAGAUGAUAAGUACUCCAAGACUGCUCAUUUUGAUUUUGAGAAGAGAAAUAACCUAG